Molecule: long non-coding RNA, 300 nt
Filed under: Coturnix japonica (Japanese quail)
Lineage: Eukaryota; Metazoa; Chordata; Aves; Galliformes; Phasianidae
Description: lncRNA (ENSCJPG00005020837.1)
Source: RNAcentral
CAUUUGGGCAUCUGGAGGUUUCUGAAGCAGACUUUCAGCAGCUGUGUGAGGGAAAGCUAUUCAAAUGGGAGAGGAGGAAAAAUGGAAAACUACCGACGUUGUAACAUCACAAUCAAAUAUGUAAGAACUGGAAAGAUGUGUUCAUUAUCUCCUGAGCUGUUAUCACCAUAUCAAACACAUGGGAUCACUCUGGGAUGCUUGUGUCUGUGGCCAGGCACUGCACACCCCAUUGAGGGAUGGCAGAACUCCAGCAGGUCCCCACCUGGCCCAGGAGGGGAUGAGAUGAAGAGGAGACUCUGA